CCCGGCCAGCGUCCCAGGUCCACCGCGGGGGCGUGGAGGGCCAGGGAGGUCAGCGACCCUGGAACUCAGUCCAGCAGCCUGUGGGGCAGAAAGUCAGGCUGCAGGCAGGUCUGAGUCUCCUCAAUCCUUAAAUGUCUGAAAAGCCGGGCAGAGACCGGAUGUUCCCAGCAACUUCCAUUAUUUCAGAAGCACGUCACCUUUAUUUUGAUGGGUGACAAAUUGGUGGCACAGCCUCCACGCACGUCACACAGGUCUGUAGUAUCUACAGAGCCUUCUCUGAGCCUCUCCGUGCCAGGGCCGAUGUGGGCUGGGCAGCUGUAAGGACGUGAUCUUGCCUCCUGCCCCAGCUGAAGCAGGAGAUACAGCCUGAGCACCUGGCCGUGCCUGCAGCCCCGCAUGCCCAGAAGGAUUUGGGGAAAGAGGAUCCUGCAGCCAGGUGUAGAUAGGGAAGCCUCCCAACUGUGGAAAGAAACGGAAACUCUGGUGGGACCGGCUCAGAGAAGAUGGAGCAUAUGGGAAGAGACCUGUGUUUGAGAGAGAGAGAGAGAGAGACGGAGGGAAGAAAGACAGAACCCAGCCCUGGGAGGAAAACGUGAUGCUCUCGUGGUUGACAACAACCAACUUGGCCCUCAAGAGAGAAGCAGACUCCUGGCUCUGGCGGAGGGCCAGUUUGCAACAUAGUGGUAGUUCUGUAGCCAUCCGUAUUUAACUUUGUUACAAAACUAAAAGGUCCUAGAAAAUAAAGUUUAUCGGAAGACCAA
Molecule: non-coding RNA, 761 nt
Organism: Ictidomys tridecemlineatus (thirteen-lined ground squirrel)
Lineage: Eukaryota; Metazoa; Chordata; Mammalia; Rodentia; Sciuridae
Source: RefSeq, a predicted model, not a curated record